This 23-nucleotide ribosomal RNA is filed under the name fungal endophyte sp. AP282. RNAcentral's name for it is "partial 28S ribosomal RNA". Lineage: Eukaryota; Fungi. The record is from RNAcentral.
GGUUGACGCUUCGGAUGCAGGUA